AUGAAGUCUCUCUCGUGGUCUAAGGCGGCGCCGGUCACGGAGACGGCCAUCCGCGCCGCCGUUGGUGACAAUGCUGUAACUAGAAAGGCUGUGUGCUGGUUGCUGAAGCAGAAGAGAGGGUUGCGUCGUGCGGGCACUGGUGGCCACCCGGAUCCGUAUGUGUACAUGGUACGUGAAAUCUGUGCCACACAGUUUGCGUUUUGA
RNAcentral lists this ribosomal RNA (204 nucleotides) under Triticum aestivum (bread wheat). RNAcentral describes it as "partial small subunit ribosomal RNA". The record is from RNAcentral. Lineage: Eukaryota; Viridiplantae; Streptophyta; Magnoliopsida; Poales; Poaceae.